UGGUUUAUGCAGUCGAGCGAUGGAUUCNGUNGGCGCGGGUGAGUAACACGUGGGUAACCUGCCCAUAAGACUGGGAUAACUCCGGGAAACCGGGGCUAAUACCGGAUAACAUUGAACUGCAUGGCGAAUGAAGGCGGCUCGGCUGUCACUAUCGGAUUGUGACCCUGCUGUCGCGAUUCAGCUAGNUUGGUGAGUGUAACAGUGGCGUCACCAAAUGUGCAACUGGAUUGGCCGUAAGCCGACCUUGAAGCAGUGGGUGAAUNCUGGUGGCCCAACAACCUUGGGUGAACCUUGGAUGGACCAACUUGGCCCCCAAAGAACCUUCCCUAACAG
This 333-nucleotide ribosomal RNA is filed under the name uncultured bacterium. RNAcentral describes it as "partial 16S ribosomal RNA". The record is from RNAcentral.